Unclassified non-coding RNA from Cavia aperea (Brazilian guinea pig), 318 nucleotides. Its record names the gene 7SK. It matches the Rfam family "7SK RNA". Rfam says of the family: 7SK was discovered as an abundant small nuclear RNA in the mid-70s but a possible function has only recently been suggested. Two independent studies have found that 7SK RNA binds the CDK9/cyclin T complex (known as elongation factor P-TEFb). NCBI's taxonomy places the organism in Eukaryota, Metazoa, Chordata, Mammalia, Rodentia, Caviidae. The record is from Ensembl.
GGGGGUGAGGGCGAUCUGGCUGUGACAUCUGUCACCCCAUUGAUCGCCAGGGUUAAUUCGGCAAAUCUGGAUGGCUGGGCCGGUGUCCCCUUCCUCCCUCAAACAUCCAUGUGCGUCCCUCCUGAAGCUGCGCGCUGGGUCGAAGAGGAUGAACACCCCCAUAGAGGAGGACCGUUCCUCGGUCAAGGGUACACGAGUAGCCGGCGUUCCCCUACUAGAACCUCCAAACAAGCUCUCAAGAAUUUAAAGGUGUUUCGUGUUGCUUAAAUUCCUAAUACAUCGUCCUGGCUAGUUAAUAUCCCUGUUAAUAUUCUGUGA